GGUGGCCUAGUGGUUAGAGCCUCCGCCUUGGAUGCGAAAGGUCGUGGGUUCAAUAACGGUCGAAUCAUACCAAAGACU
Potamilus streckersoni is the source of this 78-nucleotide non-coding RNA. The record is from the annotation of a GenBank genome assembly. NCBI's taxonomy places the organism in Eukaryota, Metazoa, Mollusca, Bivalvia, Unionida, Unionidae.